RNAcentral lists this ribosomal RNA (476 nucleotides) under uncultured organism. RNAcentral describes it as "partial 16S ribosomal RNA". It matches the Rfam family "Bacterial small subunit ribosomal RNA", at positions 334 to 801 of the family's 1533-position model. The record is from RNAcentral.
CACUCCUACGGGAGGCAGCAGUGGGGAAUAUUGCACAAUGGGCGCAAGCCUGAUGCAGCCAUGCCGCGUGUAUGAAGAAGGCCUUCGGGUUGUAAAGUACUUUCAGCGGGGAGGAAGGCGAUAAGGUUAAUAACCUUGUUGAUUGACGUUACCCGCAGAAGAAGCACCGGCUAACUCCGUGCAAGCAGCCGCGGUAAUACGGAGGGUGCAAGCGUUAAUCGGAAUUACUGGGCGUAAAGCGCACGCAGGCGGUCUGUCAAGUCGGAUGUGAAAUCCCCGGGCUCAACCUGGGAACUGCAUUCGAAACUGGCAGGCUAGAGUCUUGUAGAGGGGGGUAGAAUUCCAGGUGUAGCGGUGAAAUGCGUAGAGAUCUGGAGGAAUACCGGUGGCGAAGGCGGCCCCCUGGACAAAGACUGACGCUCAGGUGCGAAAGCGUGGGGAGCAAACAGGAUUAGAUACCCCAGUAGUCCCAUGAU